Dendronephthya gigantea is the source of this 565-nucleotide long non-coding RNA. RefSeq lists it as uncharacterized. The record is from RefSeq and is a predicted model, not a curated record. The transcript is spliced from 6 exons. NCBI's taxonomy places the organism in Eukaryota, Metazoa, Cnidaria, Anthozoa, Malacalcyonacea, Nephtheidae.
AAUUGCUGAGAGUUCGUGGCGAUGUUUUGUGAAUUUUUCUCAAGAAUUUGAGCGGUUUUCACGCUGAAUUUCAUGGCACAUUAUUAUGAAGGGUGACACUGUCCUGUGAUGUGAGUUGUCUGGUUCAAGCUGGUAGUAAUGGGUGAAUUUCUCCAAUGCUGUGAGGACCAAAAGAUUGUCUGGUUGUCAUGUUUCCUAAAAUUGGUCUAUUGUCAUAAUCUCAAAGAAUGAAUAGAACAUGAUACGCAUGAUAGAAUGUUGUGGUUGGCCUCCAGAGAUGAACAUGGAGUAAUGGUGUAGUCAAGCAUUGUGUUGUAAAGAUGGCCUACCAAGAAUGAAUCUUGUUCAACAGGUACAUUUCCCUAAAACUACUGCAAUUUAAGACAUGAUUUCUUGUCAGAAUGAUGAUGUAUACCCAUAUAUUCGCAGUUUCCACCAAAGUGAUGCUUUGUCAUUGCAAUGAUGGUUAUCUUCCUUGGAUGUCUGACUGACUAUGACAAUUACUAAAAUUAUAAUAUUUUACCUAUUUUUUGUGCUAAUUAAUUCCACUUGUUUUUACAGAUUU